Scylla paramamosain (green mud crab) is the source of this 711-nucleotide long non-coding RNA. RefSeq lists it as uncharacterized. NCBI's taxonomy places the organism in Eukaryota, Metazoa, Arthropoda, Malacostraca, Decapoda, Portunidae. The transcript has 2 exons. The record is from RefSeq and is a predicted model, not a curated record.
CAUCACAUCCAAUACCUUCAGUCACAAGAGGUCUCUGCAAUAUCCCACAAUCUAUCAACGACGCUCUACACUGUCAAACAUGAAGUCACCCUCAAGAACUACACCGGCAGUCUUCAGGCUAAAAUCCACACGCAAGAAAUCCCAUCCUCCUCUCAUAACGCAACGAGGAUAAAGCAAAUCUCGAACACUCAAAUCGCAAGUUACAUUAUCCUGGCGUCCUUCAUCUCAAUGUGUGGCAGCCAAGUCAUCGGUACUGCUGUCAUCACCAUUGUCAUCAGCUAUACUCCUUCCCCUGCCACCGUCCCCCGCCACCUCUGCUACUACUACUACUACUGCUCCCACCACCACCACCACCACCACCACCACCACACGCCGCCGCCAGAAGAGUCUCCCCUCUCUCCCCAAUCACACGGGGCGAAAGAUGUCGUUGGUGAAGGACUUAAUCAAAUCUGGAGUGUUUUUCCUCGCGCUAAUCAGAGACGAAGGUUGGGAGCAAGAACUCUAAUGUCAUUUCCAGGCGGUGGACGAAACAAAGCUAAGAGAAGAAAGCUACACACAAACAUGUUUUCAGAGUUUCUUGGGUUGACGAGGUUACGUAUUCACGACGCGACGAACGCCCGUAGAAGAAGCAGCAGCAGCUCGGUGUGUGUGUGUUAUUUUUUUACUCAUACAUAUUUUUGUCUCUAUAUCAGCCAAAUACAUUUUCCUGCA